UGUGUAUUUAUUUAUUUUUUUUUUUUUUUUUUUAUUUUUUGGUUUUUUUCGUGACAGGGUUUCUCUGUGUAGCCCUGGCUGUCCUGGAACUCACUAUGUAGACCAGGCUGGCCUCGAACUCAGAAAUCUGCCUGUCUCUGCCUCCCGAGUGCUGGGAUUAAAGGCGUGCGCCACCACGCCAGGCGUCUGUAUUUCUUUAAGGGAGUUAUUUACGUCCUUCUUAAGUCCUCUAGCACCAUCAUGAGAAGUGAUUUUAGAUUCGAAUCUUGCUUUUCUGGUGUGAUGGUGUAACCAGGACUUGCUGUGGUGGGAGUACUGGGUUCUGAUGAUACCAAGUUACCUUGGUUUCUGUUGCUUAUGUUCUUAUGCUUGCCUCCCACCAUCUGAUUAUCUCUAGUGCAACCUGCCCUCGAUAUAUCUGACUGGAGCCUGUCCUUCCUGUGAUCCUGGUUGUGUCAGAACUUCUCAGAGUUCAGCUGUCUCUGUGAUCCUCUGAUUCUGGGAUCCUGUAAUCCUGAGGUCCUGGGUGUGUCCAAGCUCCUGGGAGUCAAGCUGCCUCUGGGACCCUGAGAUCCUGGUGUGACCAAGCUCCUGGGAUCCUGUGGACCUGGACAUAUUAGAGAGCCUGGGAGUGGAGCUUUUUCUGAGUGUUGUAGGACUGGCUGUAGAGUUUGUGCCCAAGGUCUGCUCAGGGCACCUCUGAUCCUGUGAUCCUGAGUGGAUCUUCCUCUGGGUGUUGUGGGACUGAUUGGGGAGUUCUCACUCAAGGUCUGCUCAGGGCACCGGCCCAAAGUGGAAGCUAUACUUAAUGUUCUUUUUUUUUUUUUUAAAGAUUUAUUCAUUUAUUUUAUGUAUAGCAAUGAGUACACUAUAGCUGUACAGAUGGUUGUGAGUCUUCAUGUGGUUGUUGGGAAUUGUAUUUAGGACCUCUGCUUGCUCUGGUCAACCCCGCUCAUUCAGUCCCUGCUCUCUCUGACCCAAAGAUUUAUUUAUUAUUAUAAAUAAAUACACUGUAGUUGUCUUCAGAUGCAGCAAAAGAGGGCAUCAGAUCUCAUUACAGGUGGUAGUGAGCCAUCAUGUGUUUGCUGGGAUUUGAACUCAGGACCUUCUGAAGAGCAGUUAGUGUUCUUAUCCGCUGAGCCAUCUCUACAGCCCCCAUACUUAAUAUUCUUAACAUUCUAAAACAUUGUGUGACCUUCAGUAAAGGAUUGAUCCACAUGCUCAGUUGAAACAACGGAUGUAGUGACUUAACAGACAGUGCUCUCCUAAGACCAAAUCCUUACCGCCAUGACCCCUUACUUGAUGCUUUGUACACGGCUCUGUCCAGUCCGUAGGUGCUAAUGUCUCAGUUUGUGUUCACGCAGCUCUGCGAUAUCAGUGGGCGCUAUCUAUCAAGGAAGACGCUAAGACUUAGUUUCAGUAACAAGGAGGCUGUCUUGAACCGCAAGCCUAGGAGGCUUCAUCACAACGCACUGAGCUCUACACCGCGGCGGCACCGUGCUGUAGAGGCUCCCUGUGCAUUUGGAGACCUUUAGAGACAGUUAAGGAGGCUGCCGUUUAUGGGUAAAAACAAUGAUGGCAGGCGUCUACCUAACUUCCAGGAUGUAUUUGUGUGUGUUACAAAGAAGCAUUUGGUAAAUAUGGAACAUACAUAUUUUUUCCGGCAGCUGUAGAAAGAGAUUAUUUACUUACUUGUGGUACUGGGGAUUAAACCAAUGAGUGUGUGCUGCUUAGUUUUUGUCAUACUUGACACAAACUAUAAAGUCAUUUGGGAACAGGGAACUGUAAUGAGAAAAUAAUGCCGCCAUAAUAGAAUUUGCCUGUAGGCAAGUCUGUGGGGAAUUUUCUUGAUUACUGACUGAUGUAAGAGUCUCCAGACAAAUGGAUAGUACACUUCUGAGCAGGCGGUCCUCAGCCGUGUGCAAAGCAAACUGAGCAAAGGAUGGGGGCAAGCCAGCACGGAGCGUUCACUCCUCCAUGGUCUGUCUCCACUUCAGUUCCUGCCCUGAACGGGGAUGUAGGAGGAUAUACUAGAUAAAAAAACAAACUACAGUAAUGCAUCUGCCAGGCACAUUCUCUACCAUUAAGCUAUGUAACCUGCUUCCCAAAAGAAUCUUUCUAGUAUGGCUUAUGUACUUCACUAGGUAGCUCUUACACUUGGUCACCUUGGCCUGAGUUUGCUGUGUUGAAACGCACAGGAUACCUUAAGGUCUGGGCUUUCAGACAAAUCUUAGGAAUAUUAUCCAAAAAAAUCUUAUUCAUUAUACUACUUUACCAACUUUAGUGUAAUGUGAAUUAUUAAAUAUAAAGUUAGAGAAAUUUUUCUUUAGAAAAGUAAAUUUAUAAUUAUGCUGAGAAGUUUUUUUACUUUUUGUUUUGUUUCUGCUUUUAAGUUAAAUGAUCUCUGUGGGGGCAGGUAGGAAAAAAAAUGCCAAAAGAUAAAUCUGUUUUUCAUGUAUAUCUUUUCACACUUUGGACAGAUAGAUCUUUAUAUUAUUGUCUAUAAAGUAGUACCUUUCAUUUGUCGUUAAGGAAAUAAAUUUAAGCUGGUGGUAUUAUCACACAACAUUAAUCCCAGUGCUCAGAAGGCAGAGGCAGGCAGAUCUGAGUUCUAGGCUAGCCUGGUCUACAGAGAGAGUCCCAGGACAGCCAGUACUACACAGAGAAACUCUGUCUCAAAAAAAGGAAGAAAAGAAAAAAGGUUUAUUAGACAUAGUGCAGGGACAGCUGUCUAAUAGGGAACUGAGUACUGCCCACCUGAACUCCCCUGUAUCAGUAUAGAAAGUGGCAAGCCUUGAAAGCUGCCUUGCCUUCACAUGCAGGUCUGUUAUGUUUAACAAGUGAACAGAAAGGUCCCGACUGUUUUACAGAGGUUAAGUGAUAGUGUCCAGUUGUCCUUUUAUGUUCUGUUACACUGUGACAUGACUUUAUAACUCAUAAAAAUUAUGUUCAUGAACCAAAGUAAUAUGGAGUAUCAAAGUCACUAUCAGAAGAUAGUUAUACAGAAGAUGUUAGCUGGACAUGCCUGUAACCUUAGCACUUGAGAGAUGGAAACAGGAGGAUCAAAAAUUCGAGGCCAAUUUGGACAGAAUAAAACCCUGUUUUAAAAAAACAACUACC
RNAcentral lists this long non-coding RNA (3120 nucleotides) under Mus musculus (house mouse). RNAcentral's name for it is "long non-coding RNA chr16:32968599-32971719". The record is from RNAcentral. Lineage: Eukaryota; Metazoa; Chordata; Mammalia; Rodentia; Muridae.